AAUCAACGCUGGCGGCGUGCCUCAGACAUGCAAGUCGAACGAUUAAAGCUCUCUUCGGAGAGUGUAUAGAGUGGCGCACGGGUGAGUAACACGUAAGUAAUCUACCCUCGAGUGGGGAAUAACAACCGGAAACGGUUGCUAAUACCGCAUAAUGCAGCGGCACCGCAAGGUGACAGUUGUUAAAGAUUUAUCGCUUGAGGAGGAGCUUGCGGCAGAUUAGCUAGUUGGUAGGGUAACGGCUUACCAAGGCUACGAUCUGUAACCGGUCUAAGAGGACGGUCGGUCACACUGACACUGAAUAACGGGUCAGACUCCUACGGGAGGCAGCAGUCGGGAAUUUUUGGGCGAAUAGGGCGGAAAGACCUGA
Molecule: ribosomal RNA, 367 nt
Filed under: uncultured bacterium
Lineage: Bacteria
Description: bacterial SSU rRNA
Rfam family: Bacterial small subunit ribosomal RNA
Source: RNAcentral